GACAGAGGGUGCAAACGUUGUUCGGAAUUACUGGGCGUAAAGCGCACGUAGGCGGCUUUGUAAGUUAGAGGUGAAAGCCCGGGGCUCAACUCCGGAAUUGCCUUUAAGACUGCAUCGCUAGAAUUGUGGAGAGGUAAGUGGAAUUCCGAGUGUAGAGGUGAAAUUCGUAGAUAUUCGGAAGAACACCAGUGGCGAAGGCGACUUACUGGACACAUAUUGACGCUGAGGUGCGAAAGCGUGGGGAGCAAACAGG
This 253-nucleotide ribosomal RNA is filed under the name uncultured bacterium. RNAcentral's name for it is "partial 16S ribosomal RNA". It matches the Rfam family "Bacterial small subunit ribosomal RNA", at positions 524 to 776 of the family's 1533-position model. The record is from RNAcentral.